RNAcentral lists this transfer RNA (71 nucleotides) under Ovis aries (sheep). It matches the Rfam family "tRNA". Rfam says of the family: Transfer RNA (tRNA) molecules are approximately 80 nucleotides in length. Lineage: Eukaryota; Metazoa; Chordata; Mammalia; Artiodactyla; Bovidae. The record is from Rfam by way of RNAcentral.
UCCUGGUGGCUCAGACAGUAAAGUGUCUGCCUGCAAUGCGGGAGACCUGGGUUCGAUUCCUGGGUCAGGAA